GACGAACGCUGGCGGCGUGCCUAAUACAUGCAAGUCGAACGCAGGGGGGACGGGUGAGUAACACGUGGGUAACCUCCCAUCAGAGGGGAGAACACUUGGAAACAGGUGCUAAACCGAUACUGAUGGAUGGACUCGGGGGGGAUUGGCUAGUUGGUGAGGUAACGGCCCACCAAGGCCACGAUGCAUAGCCGGCCGGAGAGGUUGAUCGGCCACACGGGGACUGAGACACGGCCCAGACUCCUACGGGAGGCAGCAGUGGGGAAUCUUCGGCAAUGGACGAAAGUCUGACCGAGCAACGCCGCGUGAGUGAAGAAGGUCUUCGGAUCGUAAAACUCUUUUGUUGGAGAGGCGGUAUCUAACCAGAAAGCAACGGCUAACUACGUGCCAGCAGCCGCGGUAAUUC
Molecule: ribosomal RNA, 403 nt
Filed under: uncultured bacterium
Lineage: Bacteria
Description: partial 16S ribosomal RNA
Rfam family: Bacterial small subunit ribosomal RNA
Source: RNAcentral